UGGGGGCCGAGGAUGCAGGGUUCAUAGUCUCAAAGAAGUGUAGCUCAGACCUCUUGGACAUACUCGCAUUGUGAGAAAUAUGGGAGGAAUCAUCUAGGGAGAUGUCAUUUUGGUGCUAUGGUGUGUUAUUCGUGCAGCUAGCCAGGCCAUAUUCAGAGAGAAUUUUCGGCAGCAAAGGGUAAUAUUGGUGGAGCCAAUUCACACACUAAUUCUUCUGCACCACCACUGCCUCAGAAGGGUGCCACUUCAGCUGCCGAAAAUGGUCGUAACCGGUUGUAUUCCUUGACUAACCGCUAAGAGUCAGAGGCCUCACCACAUGUAGUUACUGGUACGUUGCAAAUAU
Molecule: long non-coding RNA, 343 nt
Filed under: Capsicum annuum
Lineage: Eukaryota; Viridiplantae; Streptophyta; Magnoliopsida; Solanales; Solanaceae
Description: long non-coding RNA (CANN_LNC006497)
Source: RNAcentral